AUGACCUCAUCAUCGCUGGCCAUGGAGGCAUUCAUAUUGGCCGCCGACCUAUCGCUAGGUGGCGACGAGGCGAGAUCGUCUUCUUCAAUCUCCGGCUCAUCUUCCUCCUCUGACCACCUCAUGUACCACCGGUCGGGCCGCCUACUGCCCCCCCUCCAGGGCCAUCGGCGUCCCACGACCGCCUCGCCACACCUCCCACCCAUGAACCCCCCCACUAGUCUUGCCGCCUCCCCAGCCAUCCCUCUAGCCCUAAGCGAUGACCGAUUUUUCUCCGGCGAACUUGCACCACCGCCGUGCUGCCACCCCCGACCACCGUUUACAUGGAUGAUCGGGAGCAAGUAUUGUGACUUCCCACGCGUGGAGAGAUGGCAUCACGAGCUGGUCGUGUCGUUGUUUGCCAACAUGAACAACAAUCUCGAGACCUUCCGCGAGGACUACCAAGACACCGACUCCAUCUGCAAGGGUGUGGAGGAGUGGCACUUGUCUGCACAACAGCCUCAAGCUGCUCCUGCUGCUAAAAAGAUGUUGCUUGGUCUUUCGUGA
Molecule: ribosomal RNA, 543 nt
Filed under: Triticum aestivum (bread wheat)
Lineage: Eukaryota; Viridiplantae; Streptophyta; Magnoliopsida; Poales; Poaceae
Description: partial small subunit ribosomal RNA
Source: RNAcentral